Molecule: long non-coding RNA, 631 nt
Organism: Choloepus didactylus (southern two-toed sloth)
Lineage: Eukaryota; Metazoa; Chordata; Mammalia; Pilosa; Megalonychidae
Exons: 3
Source: RefSeq, a predicted model, not a curated record
AAUUGGGUCAUAUUUACAGAAAACAUAGUGCAAUUCAAUUGGAUAAAUGAUCUCAAUAAUCUAAAGGUUUAGAUAUCAGUAGCAAAUGGGUAAAAUGGCAAUGACAAACAACAGGACAAAGAUAAGGAAAUACUCGUUUUCACUCAGAAGCCGUGUCCAUCUAAACUGCACAUGGAUGGCGGCACCAUCAGUCAAGACAGUGAACAUCAUCCAUCUGGAGUUCAGAAGGGCAUCUGCUUUCCAGAAACUCCUGAAAUUAAAUUCUACAUUUUGACCAGAGGUGAUGGUUAACAAAUCAGGCAUUGCAGCUGAAAAAGAUCUUCAAGACUCUUGUUCAAGUCAACAGCAAUUGCUGCCAGAACUGACAUCCUGAAAGGAAAAGAAAGGCUCAAGAGGUUCGAAAUGACAGAACAAUGAUUACUAAAGCACCAAAUUAUUCUUUGGAACCAUACAAUCAUCAAAACUGAGACUCAGGACAAGUACAAUCAAAACUCUGAAAUUCAAUCUAAUGAGAUGACAGUGUGAGUUAGUUAAAAAUCUGAAUUACAGGGUAGUGGAAAGACAUUCACUUUUAGAAUUAAAGGAUUUUAAAGGGAAGCAACUUCUAAGAUCACACAAGUUGCAAAUGCAU